RNAcentral lists this ribosomal RNA (200 nucleotides) under uncultured bacterium. Its description in RNAcentral is "partial 16S ribosomal RNA". It matches the Rfam family "Bacterial small subunit ribosomal RNA", at positions 524 to 723 of the family's 1533-position model. The record is from RNAcentral. RNAcentral also lists the same sequence under 1 other name.
CACGUAGGGUGCGAGCGUUAAUCGGAAUUACUGGGCGUAAAGGGUGCGCAGGCGGUUUCGCAAGUCAGGUGUGAAAUCCCCGGGCUUAACCUGGGAAUGGCAUUUGAAACUACGAGACUUGAGUGCGGCAGAGGGAGGUGGAAUUCCACGUGUAGCGGUGAAAUGCGUAGAUAUGUGGAGGAACACCGAUGGCGAAGGCA